GAUGAAGAACGUAGCGAAAUGCGAUAAGUAAUGUGAAUUGCAGAAUCCAGUGAAUCAUCGAAUCUUUGAACGCACCUUGCGCCCCUUGGUAUUCCGAGGGGCACACCUGUUGGAGUGUCAUGAAUACCUCAACCCUUAUAUGUUUUAUCACUUAUAAGGUGUUGGUUGUGAGUGUUUCCGGUCGCAAGAUCGGCUCGCUUUAAAAUCAUUAGCUGGAUCCACUUUGACCUGGUUCUACUCGGCGUAAUAAGUUAUUAUCGUUGAGGACACUUUUCUUAGGAAUGGUGGCCACAGUAAAGGUUGCGAACCGCUUCUAAUACGUCUGCUUAGUCUUCGGGCUAUGCAACACUUUUAUCUCUGACCUCCAAUCAGGUGGGACUACCCGCUGAACUUAAGCAUAUCAAUAAGCGGAGGA
This 415-nucleotide unclassified non-coding RNA is filed under the name soil metagenome. RNAcentral describes it as "partial contains 5.8S ribosomal RNA, internal transcribed spacer 2, and large subunit ribosomal RNA". The stretch from base 1 to 120 matches the Rfam family "5.8S ribosomal RNA", at positions 35 to 154 of the family's 154-position model. The record is from RNAcentral.